This 368-nucleotide long non-coding RNA is filed under the name Cricetulus griseus (Chinese hamster). RNAcentral describes it as "lncRNA (ENSCGRG00000025045.1)". Lineage: Eukaryota; Metazoa; Chordata; Mammalia; Rodentia; Cricetidae. The record is from RNAcentral.
AACUAAUGCAAGUCAGGAUUGACUGCAAUUUUUUUUUGUCCAUCUUAAUGUGCAGGUGAGAAGGCAAACCUUGCAAUGUGGUGUUUGAUUCCAGAAAGCUGUUCCCUCUGAUAGGCCCAGCUUCAGACAUUGCAAUCUACACCAGGAUUCCUUGAAACGGGGUGAAAAGUUGGCCUGUCAACGUGCCAGGGUCAUGCUGAGCAUCCACAUGGAGCCAGAGCUGCUUGGACAGUCCGGCAGCACUCUUCUUUGGUACUUACUGUCCUUCUGACACAUUAAAUGAUGGAUGAUGCUUGGAAAGUCCAGCACUCUUCUUUGGUGUUUACCAUCUCUCUGACUCUUUAAAUGAUGGAUGGUCUCCUUCUUAG